CCGUAAGUCUCCCGGUAAAUCGGGCGGCUCAACCGUCCGCAUCCGGGAGAUACUGCGGGGCUAGGGACCGGGAGAGGCCGGGGGUACUCCCGGGGUAGGGGUAAAAUCCUGUAAUCCCGGGGGGACCACCUGUGGCGAAGGCGCCCGGCUGGAACGGGUCCGACGGUGAGGGACGAAGGCCGGGGGAGCGAACCGGAUUAGAUACCCGGGUAGUCCCGGCUGUAAACGCUGCGGGCUAGGUGUCGAGGAUCCUACGGGGAUCCUCGGUGCCGAAGGGAAGCCGGAAGCCCGCCGCCUGGGGAGUACGGCCGCAAGGCUGAAACUUAAAGGAAUUGGCGGG
This 340-nucleotide ribosomal RNA is filed under the name uncultured archaeon. Its description in RNAcentral is "bacterial SSU rRNA". It matches the Rfam family "Archaeal small subunit ribosomal RNA", at positions 531 to 872 of the family's 1478-position model. The record is from RNAcentral.